GGAGGCAGCAGUGGGGAAUAUUGCACAAUGGGCGCAAGCCUGAUGCAGCCAUGCCGCGUGUAUGAAGAAGGCCUUCGGGUUGUAAAGUACUUUCAGUCGUGAGGAAGGGGUGUACGUUAAUAGCGUGCAUCUUUGACGUUAGCGACAGAAGAAGCACCGGCUAACUCCGUGCCAGCAGCCGCGGUAAUACGGAGGGUGCGAGCGUUAAUCGGAAUUACUGGGCGUAAAGCGCAUGCAGGUGGUUCGUUAAGUCAGAUGUGAAAGCCCGGGGCUCAACCUCGGAACUGCAUUUGAAACUGGCGGACUAGAGUACUGUAGAGGGGGGUAGAAUUUCAGGUGUAGCGGUGAAAUGCGUAGAGAUCUGAAGGAAUACCAGUGGCGAAGGCGGCCCCCUGGACAGAUACUGACACUCAGAUGCGAAAGCGUGGGGAGCAAACAGGAUUAGAUACCCUGGUAGUCCACGCCGUAAACGAUGUCUACUUGGAGGUUGUGGCCUUGAGCCGUGGCUUUCGGAGCUAACGCGUUAAGUAGACCGCCUGGGGAGUACGGUCGCAAGAUUAAAACUCAAAUGAAUUGACGGGGGCCCGCACAAGCGGUGGAGCAUGUGGUUUAAUUCGAUGCAACGCGAAGAACCUUACCUACUCUUGACAUCCAGAGAACUAGCAGAGA
This 669-nucleotide ribosomal RNA is filed under the name Vibrio sp. Its description in RNAcentral is "bacterial SSU rRNA". It matches the Rfam family "Bacterial small subunit ribosomal RNA", at positions 344 to 1006 of the family's 1533-position model. The record is from RNAcentral. Lineage: Bacteria; Pseudomonadati; Pseudomonadota; Gammaproteobacteria; Vibrionales; Vibrionaceae.